RNAcentral lists this ribosomal RNA (1239 nucleotides) under metagenome. RNAcentral describes it as "bacterial LSU rRNA". It matches the Rfam family "Bacterial large subunit ribosomal RNA", at positions 1311 to 2559 of the family's 2925-position model. The record is from RNAcentral.
GAGAUGUGGGUGAGAAUCCCACAGGCCGUAAACCCAAGUUUUCCAGGGGAAGGUUCGUCCGCCCUGGGUUAGUCAGGACCUAAGCCGAGGCCGAAAGGCGUAGGUGAUGGACAACAGGUUGAUAUUCCUGUACCACCAAUAACCGUUUGAGAAAUGGGAUGACACAGUAGGAUAAGCUAACCGCACUGUUGGUUAUGUGCGGGCAAGUACUGAGGCAGUUCUGAUAGGCAAAUCCGUCGGAAUAAUGCUGGGGUACGAUGCGGAGCGAAAUUUAGUAGCGAAGUAGCUGAUUUCACACUGUCGAGAAAAGUCUCUAUCGAGGUUAAAGGUGCCUGUACCGCAAACCGACACAGGUGGGUGAGGAGAGUAUCCUAAGGCCAGCGAGAGAACUGUUGUUAAGGAACUCGGCAAAAUGACCCCGUAUCUUAGGGAGAAGGGGUGCCUUCGAAAGAAGGCCGCAGAGAAUAGGCCCAAGCGACUGUUUACCAAAAACAUAGGUCUCUGCUAAGUCGCAAGACGAUGUAUAGGAGCUGACGCCUGCCCGGUGCUGGAAGGUUAAGGGGAUCUGUUAGAGCAAUCGAAGCAGUGAACUUAAGCCCCAGUAAACGGCGGCCGUAACCAUAACGGUCCUAAGGUAGCGAAAUUCCUUGUCGGGUAAGUUCCGACCCGCACGAAAGGCGUAACGAUUUGGGCACUGUCUCAACAACAGACUCGGUGAAAUUGUAAUACCGGUGAAGAUGCCGGUUACCUGCGACAGGACGGAAAGACCCCAUGGAGCUUUACUGUAGCUUGACAUUGAGUCUCGGUGCUACAUGUACAGGAUAGGUGGGAGACUAUGAAGCAUGGACGUCAGUCUGUGUGGAGUCAUCCUUGGGAUACCACCCUUGUAGUACUGGGAUUCUAACCAGAGGCCAUGAAUCUGGUCUUGGGACACUGUCAGGUGGACAGUUUGACUGGGGCGGUCGCCUCCCAAAAAGUAACGGAGGCGCUCAAAGGUUCUCUCAGUACGGUCGGGAAUCGUACGAAGAGUGUAAAGGCAAAAGAGAGCUUGAUUGCAAGACAUACAGGUCGAGCAAGGACGAAAGUCGGACUUAGUGAUCCGGUGGUUCCGCAUGGAAGGGCCAUCGUUCAACGGAUAAAAGCUACCCUGGGGAUAACAGGCUGAUCCCCCCCAAGAGUCCACAUCGACGGGGAGGUUUGGCACCUCGAUGUCGGCUCAUCACAUCCUGGGGCUGUAGU